AGAGUUUGAUCCUGGCUCAGGAUGAACGCUGGCGGCGUGCCUAACACAUGCAAGUCGAACGAAGCACUUGAGAUCUUCGGAAGGAUAGUGACUGAGUGGCGGACGGGUGAGUAACGCGUGGGUAACCUGCCUCAUACAGGGGGAUAACAGUUAGAAAUGACUGCUAAUACCGCAUAAGCCUACAGUACCGCAUGGUACAGCAGGAAAAACUCCGGUGGUAUGAGAUGGACCCGCGUCUGAUUAGCUAGUUGGUGGGGUAACGGCCUACCAAGGCGACGAUCAGUAGCCGACCUGAGAGGGUGACCGGCCACAUUGGGACUGAGACACGGCCCAAACUCCUACGGGAGGCAGCAGUGGGGAAUAUUGCACAAUGGGCGAAAGCCUGAUGCAGCGACGCCGCGUGAGCGAAGAAGUAUUUCGGUAUGUAAAGCUCUAUCAGCAGGGAAGAAAAUGACGGUACCUGACUAAGAAGCACCGGCUAAAUACGUGCCAGCAGCCGCGGUAAUACGUAUGGUGCAAGCGUUAUCCGGAUUUACUGGGUGUAAAGGGAGCGUAGACGGCUGUGUAAGUCUGAAGUGAAAGCCCGGGGCUCAACCCCGGGACUGCUUUGGAAACUAUGCAGCUAGAGUGUCGGAGAGGAAAGCGGAAUUCCCAGUGUAGCGGUGAAAUGCGUAGAUAUUGGGAGGAACACCAGUGGCGAAGGCGGCUUUCUGGACGAUAACUGACGCUGAGGCGCGAGAGCGUGGGGAGCAAACAGGAUUAGAUACCCUGGUAGUCC
RNAcentral lists this ribosomal RNA (778 nucleotides) under uncultured bacterium. RNAcentral's name for it is "bacterial SSU rRNA". It matches the Rfam family "Bacterial small subunit ribosomal RNA", at positions 8 to 796 of the family's 1533-position model. The record is from RNAcentral.